GGAUGUGAGGGCAAUCUGGCUACAACAUCUGUCACCCCACUGAUCACCAGGGUUGGUUUGGCUGAUCUGGUUGGGAAGGCAGGUGUCCCCUUCCUCCCUCACCACUCAUGUGUGUCCCUCCUAAAGCAAUGCACUCUAGAAGAGGACGACGUUUCUGGUUUAGAGGAGGACCGUGCUUCGUUCAAGGGUAUACAAAUAGCUGCUCUCCCCUGCUAGAACCCCAAAAAAAGCUCUCAGAAAGGAAGACAGUAGGACAAAAUUUAAAGUGUGAAUAUUU
Molecule: small nuclear RNA, 277 nt
Filed under: Marmota marmota marmota (Alpine marmot)
Lineage: Eukaryota; Metazoa; Chordata; Mammalia; Rodentia; Sciuridae
Description: 7SK RNA (ENSMMMG00000002570.1)
Rfam family: 7SK RNA
About the family: 7SK was discovered as an abundant small nuclear RNA in the mid-70s but a possible function has only recently been suggested. Two independent studies have found that 7SK RNA binds the CDK9/cyclin T complex (known as elongation factor P-TEFb). P-TEFb activates transcription by phosphorylating the C-terminal domain of RNA polymerase II.
Source: RNAcentral